UUGAAGCGCAGACCUACCCAGCCA
This 24-nucleotide unclassified non-coding RNA is filed under the name Mus musculus (house mouse). RNAcentral's name for it is "oocyte_clustered_small_RNA8806". The record is from RNAcentral. Lineage: Eukaryota; Metazoa; Chordata; Mammalia; Rodentia; Muridae.